This 480-nucleotide ribosomal RNA is filed under the name Gnomonia cf. trientensis BPI 877674. RNAcentral describes it as "eukaryotic LSU rRNA". The stretch from base 163 to 316 matches the Rfam family "5.8S ribosomal RNA". The record is from RNAcentral. Lineage: Eukaryota; Fungi; Ascomycota; Sordariomycetes; Diaporthales; Gnomoniaceae.
CCUUUGUGAACUAUACCUACUUUGUUGCCUCGGCAUUGGUUGGCUUCGAACGAAGUCCCUUGCACACCUCUAGGGGUUGCAAGGAGCAGACCGGCCGACGGCCCCCUAUAAACUCUUUGUUUUUGUACUAUCUUCUGAGUAAAACAACUAUAAAUGAAUCAAAACUUUCAACAACGGAUCUCUUGGUUCUGGCAUCGAUGAAGAACGCAGCGAAAUGCGAUAAGUAAUGUGAAUUGCAGAAUUCAGUGAAUCAUCGAAUCUUUGAACGCACAUUGCGCCCGGUGGUAUUCCACCGGGCAUGCCUGUUCGAGCGUCAUUUCAACCCUCAAAAAUCUUGCAUUUUUGGUGUUGGAGGAGUACCUGUGACAGGGUACCCUCUGAAAUUUAGUGGCGGGCUCGCUAGAAUUUUGAGCGUAGUAAUUUUACCUCGUUUUUAAAGACUAGUGGGACUUCUUGCCGUAAAACCCCCCAAUUUUCUGA